This 253-nucleotide ribosomal RNA is filed under the name uncultured bacterium. Its description in RNAcentral is "partial 16S ribosomal RNA". It matches the Rfam family "Bacterial small subunit ribosomal RNA", at positions 524 to 776 of the family's 1533-position model. The record is from RNAcentral.
UACGGAGGGUGCAAGCGUUAUCCGGAUUUACUGGGUUUAAAGGGUGCGUAGGUGGCCCUGUAAGUCAGUGGUGAAAUAUGGCAGCUCAACUGUCAGGGUGCCAUUGAUACUGCAGAGCUUGAGUACAGAUGAGGUAGGCGGAAUUGACGGUGUAGCGGUGAAAUGCUUAGAUAUCGUCAAGAACACCGAUAGCGAAGACAGCUUACUGGGCUGUAACUGACGCUGAGGCACGAAAGUGUGGGGAUCAAACAGG